This 839-nucleotide long non-coding RNA is filed under the name Triticum aestivum (bread wheat). RNAcentral describes it as "long non-coding RNA (TAES_LNC000040)". Lineage: Eukaryota; Viridiplantae; Streptophyta; Magnoliopsida; Poales; Poaceae. The record is from RNAcentral.
AAUACUCUAAUAAUGAUGAUCAUCACACUUUUGUUUACUUACAACCCAAUAAAACUGAAUGAUAUGACUACAUAUGAAUUUCUCUGGUAGUGUACCAGGAUAGUAAUGGUGGAAGUUGCAUGGCAGUAUAUUUCAGAAUGGCUAUGAAAAAACCAUGAUAGGUAAGUAUGGUUAUUGUUUUGACGAAUGAUAUAAUAAGGCUUAUGUGUGAUAGAGCGUACCAUAUCCCGGGGUUUGGACGCGCUUGCGAAGUUUGUAUCAAGUCUCGAGGUGAGAGCGGACAAUGCAUGUUACCGAAGAGACUAGCAAAAUAUACCAUGAACAAAAAACACAAAGCUAUAAAUUGAGUAAAUGACAUGCUUUCAAAAAAAAAUUCGAGCUACUUUAAGAAAAAUGGCAUGCCAUUAAAAAAAAUACGGUCCUCUCGAAUACUGAAAAUACCAUCCUCUCAAACAUUAAAAAUGCCAUCCUAUUUGUAAUAAAAAAUGCCACCCUCUCAAUAAUUAAUAUGCCAUCCUAUUAUUGAUAAAAUACCAUCCUAUUGUUAAUAAAAAUGCCAUGCGUUUAGUUAUAAAAAUUUCCAUGCCAAUAAAAAAUUGCCAUCUCUUAAAAAAAUGUCAUCAUAUUAUUGAUAAAAAUGUCAUCCGAUCCUAUUGUUAAUAAAAAUGCCAUGCGCUUAGUAAUAAAAUUUCCAUGCCAAUAAAAAAAUAUCAUAUCCUAAUAAUAAGAAUGCCAUCCUAUUAUUGACAAAAAAUUCAUUUAAUAAAAAUGCCAUCCUAUUGUUAAUAAAAACUGUCGUGCCAUUAAAAAAAUGCCAUCCUCUUAAAAAAUGACAUGCU